Molecule: ribosomal RNA, 331 nt
Filed under: Escherichia coli
Lineage: Bacteria; Pseudomonadati; Pseudomonadota; Gammaproteobacteria; Enterobacterales; Enterobacteriaceae
Also listed under: 1 other name
Description: bacterial SSU rRNA
Rfam family: Bacterial small subunit ribosomal RNA
Source: RNAcentral
AAAUUGAAGAGUUUGAUCAUGGCUCAGAUUGAACGCUGGCGGCAGGCCUAACACAUGCAAGUCGAACGGUAACAGGAAGCAGCUUGCUGCUUCGCUGACGAGUGGCGGACGGGUGAGUAAUGUCUGGGAAACUGCCUGAUGGAGGGGGAUAACUACUGGAAACGGUAGCUAAUACCGCAUAAUGUCGCAAGACCAAAGAGGGGGACCUUCGGGCCUCUUGCCAUCGGAUGUGCCCAGAUGGGAUUAGCUUGUUGGUGGGGUAACGGCUCACCAAGGCGACGAUCCCUAGCUGGUCUGAGAGGAUGACCAGCCACACUGGAACUGAGACACG